CCUCCCGCCUGAUCUAAGUCGCAUCUCCUACAAUAAUGCAAUAUCUUGGAUGGAUGCGACGUUUGCUUCCAAUCGGAGCAUGUCCCAGAGCGUAGAUGCCCCACCUUCCCCACCUGCUGCUACUCCAGCUCCUCCUUCUCCGAUUUACGUGGAUGGUGACUCGUACUCGGUGGCAAAGGCAGAUGCAGCCUUAAACAAAAUAGAAGGCUUGCCAGAUAAAGUAGCUGUCACAGCAGCUAUUAAGUUGGUUGAUUCCGUUGACCAUCGGAGGAUGUUUUUGAGUCAGAAGAGUGAGGCUAGGAAGCGGU
This 308-nucleotide long non-coding RNA is filed under the name Coffea arabica (coffee). Its description in RNAcentral is "long non-coding RNA (CARA_LNC006963)". The record is from RNAcentral. Lineage: Eukaryota; Viridiplantae; Streptophyta; Magnoliopsida; Gentianales; Rubiaceae.